CCUACGGGGGGCAGCAGUGAGGAAUAUUGGUCAAUGGGCGAGAGCCUGAACCAGCCAAGUCGCGUGAAGGAUGACGGCCCUACGGGUUGUAAACUUCUUUUGCCAGGGAGCAAUUGAGUCCACGUGUGGGCUUAGCGAGAGUACCUGAAGAAAAAGCAUCGGCUAACUCCGUGCCAGCAGCCGCGGUAAUACGGAGGAUGCGAGCGUUAUCCGGAUUUAUUGGGUUUAAAGGGUGCGUAGGCGGAAUAUCAAGUCAGCGGUAAAAAUUCGGGGCUCAACCCCGUCGUGCCGUUGAAACUGGUGUGCUUGAGUGGGCGAGAGGUAUGCGGAAUGCGAGGUGUAGCGGUGAAAUGCAUAGAUAUCACGCAGAACACCGAUUGCGAAGGCAGCAUACCGGCGGCCAACUGACGCUGAGGCACGAAAGCGUGGGUAUCGAACAGGAUUAGAUACCCGAGUAGUC
Molecule: ribosomal RNA, 460 nt
Filed under: uncultured bacterium
Lineage: Bacteria
Description: partial 16S ribosomal RNA
Rfam family: Bacterial small subunit ribosomal RNA
Source: RNAcentral